RNAcentral lists this ribosomal RNA (468 nucleotides) under uncultured bacterium. Its description in RNAcentral is "partial 16S ribosomal RNA". It matches the Rfam family "Bacterial small subunit ribosomal RNA", at positions 28 to 507 of the family's 1533-position model. The record is from RNAcentral.
GACGAACGCUGGCGGCGUGCUUAACACAUGCAAGUCGAACGGAAAGGCCCUGCUUUUGUGGGGUGCUCGAGUGGCGAACGGGUGAGUAACACGUGAGUAACCUGCCCUUGACUGUGGGAUAACUUCAGGAAACUGGGGCUAAUACCGGAUAGGAGCUCCUGCUGCAUGGUGUGGGUUGGAAAGUUUCGGCGGUUGGGGAUGGACUCGCGGCUUAUCAGCUUGUAGGUGGGGUAGUGGCUUACCAAGGCUUUGACGGGUAGCCGGCCUGGGAGGGUGACCGGCCACAUUGGGACUGAGAUACGGCCCAGACUGCUACGGGAGGCAGCAGUGGGGAAUAUUGCACAAUGGGCGGAAGCCUGAUGCAGCAACGCCGCGUGCGGGAUGACGGCCUUCGGGUUGUAAACCGCUUUCGCCUGUGACGAAGAGUGAGUGACGGUAAUGGGUAAAGAAGCACCGGCUAACUACGUG